CGGGGCGUGGCGCAGCCUGGUAGCGCACCUGCUUUGGGAGCAGGGGGUCCCCAGUUCAAAUCUGGGCGCCCCGACCA
RNAcentral lists this transfer RNA (77 nucleotides) under Deltaproteobacteria bacterium. Its description in RNAcentral is "tRNA-Pro". It matches the Rfam family "tRNA". From Rfam's summary of the family: Transfer RNA (tRNA) molecules are approximately 80 nucleotides in length. Their secondary structure includes four short double-helical elements and three loops (D, anti-codon, and T loops). Further hydrogen bonds mediate the characteristic L-shaped molecular structure. tRNAs have two regions of fundamental functional importance: the anti-codon, which is responsible for specific mRNA codon recognition, and the 3' end, to which the tRNAs corresponding amino acid is attached (by aminoacyl-tRNA synthetases). tRNAs cope with the degeneracy of the genetic code in two manners: having more than one tRNA (with a specific anti-codon) for a particular amino acid; and 'wobble' base-pairing, i.e. permitting non-standard base-pairing at the 3rd anti-codon position. The record is from RNAcentral. Lineage: Bacteria; Pseudomonadati; Myxococcota; Myxococcia. RNAcentral also lists the same sequence under 1 other name.